Prunus persica (peach) is the source of this 375-nucleotide long non-coding RNA. RefSeq lists it as uncharacterized. NCBI's taxonomy places the organism in Eukaryota, Viridiplantae, Streptophyta, Magnoliopsida, Rosales, Rosaceae. The record is from RefSeq and is a predicted model, not a curated record. The transcript is spliced from 2 exons.
GAUGGGAUAUGUUCACAUUGAUGAUGUUGCACUUUGCCACAUCUUAGUUUAUGAGCAUGAACCUUUGCAGCUCAACAGUUUUGGACAACAAUGAGUUGGCUUCCUUGUUAUCCAAGCAAUAUCCUUCCUUACCUAUCCCCAAAAGGUUUGAGCAACUAGGCAGGCCAAGGUAUGAUUUGAACACCUCAAAGUUGAAGAGUCUAGGGUUCAAGUUCAAGACUAUCCAAGAGAUGUUUGAUGAUUGUAUUGCCUCUUUGGUGGAGCAAGGUCAUCUUACUCAAUCAGUCUAAUUACACUCUCUCAAAUAUCGUGUUUCGGCAAAGUUCGUGUUCAUGUUAUCAAUACUUUAUCAAUAAAGUUUUGAGAAUUUUCUCA